This 486-nucleotide ribosomal RNA is filed under the name uncultured Glomeromycotina. RNAcentral's name for it is "SSU rRNA". It matches the Rfam family "Eukaryotic small subunit ribosomal RNA", at positions 562 to 1052 of the family's 1831-position model. The record is from RNAcentral. Lineage: Eukaryota; Fungi; Glomeromycota.
UGGUGCCAGCAGCCGCGGUAAUUCCAGCUCCAAUAGCGUAUAUUAAAGUUGUUGCAGUUAAAAAGCUCGUAGUUGAAUUUCGGGGUUAGUAGGUUGGUCAUGCCUCUGGUAUGUACUGGUCUCACUGAUUCCUCCUUCCUUAUGAACCGUAAUGCCAUUAAUUUGGUGUUGCGGGGAAUUUGGACUGUUACUUUGAAAAAAUUAGAGUGUUUAAAGCAAGCUAACGCUUGAAUACAUUAGCAUGGAAUAAUGAAAUAGGACGUUCGAUCUUAUUUUGUUGGUUUCUAGGAUUGACGUAAUGAUUAAUAGGGAUAGUUGGGGGCAUUAGUAUUCAAUUGUCAGAGGUGAAAUUCUUGGAUUUAUUGAAGACUAACUACUGCGAAAGCAUUUGCCAAGGAUGCUUUCAUUAAUCAAGAACGAAAGUUAGGGGAUCGAAGACGAUCAGAUACCGUCGUAGUCUUAACCAUAAACUAUGCCGACUAGGGA